Homo sapiens (human) is the source of this 1567-nucleotide long non-coding RNA. Ensembl annotates it as multidrug resistance-related protein. Its record names the gene C19orf48P. Lineage: Eukaryota; Metazoa; Chordata; Mammalia; Primates; Hominidae. The record is from Ensembl.
CGCUUCGGAGAGAGAAAUGCUGGGAGACAGGGUUUCACCAUAUUGGCCAGGCUGGUCUCGAACUCCUGACUUCGUGAUCUGCCCACCUCGGCUUCCCAAAGUGCUGAGGUUGCAGGCGUGAGCCACCGUGCCCGGCCGCGUUUCCUACUCUUUAAGCUCUGUUAGCUUGGCCUCUGUCCCUGAAGGUGCAGCUUCAAGCUUAGGACCACCCACCAUGCCUAUCCAGGUGCUGAAGGGCCUGACCAUCACUCAUUAAGAACAGAGGAGGCUGCCUGUUACUCCUGGUGUUGGUGAGAAGGCAGAUGUAGACAGCAUCCCUCCAGACACUCUGCUGUUUCCUGCCUAGGCGUGGCUGCAGCCAUGGCUAGGAAAGCGCUGCCACCCACCCACCUGGGCCAGAGCUGGUUCUGCUCCUGCUGCAGGGACACUGAGCUGGCUAUCUCGGCGCUUCGGGCAAGAACUGCAACAGGCUCUCCUGGGUCCUGCAGGUGUACAGCCGGGCCCCUGCCUUGUGCCUCAGCUCUCGAGAGCUGCUGCUGCCGGGUGACCUGAUCCAACCUGAUAAGGUGCCAUCUUCAGCUACCACUGCAAGGCCCUGAGGGCAACAGCAGCACGGCACUGCCCACCCGGCUGCUGAUGGCCUGGUGCCAGCUGGGAGUCCUCCCGGCACUUCGAGGCCACUGAGCCACCCUUCCAGCCCCAGCCCACCAUGGACAGGGGUAUCCAGCUUCCUCCUCAACCUCGUCCUCUGCCCCUGAGCCAGUGACGCCCAAGGACAUGCCUGUUACCCAGGUCCUGUACCAGCACUAGCUGGUCAAGGGCAUGACAGUGCUGGAGGCCGUCUUGGAGAUCCAGGCCAUCACUGGCAGCAGGCUGCUCUCCAUGGUGCCAGGGCCCGCCAGGCCACCAGGCUCAUGCUGGGACCCAACCCAGUGCACAAGGACUUGGCUGCUGAGCCACACACCCAGGAGAAGGUGGAUAAGUGGGCUACCAAGGGCUUCCUGCAGGCUAGGGGAGGAGCCACCCCCGCUUCCCUAUUGUGACCAGGCCUAUGGGGAGGAGCUGUCCAUACGCCACCGUGAGACCUGGGCCUGGCUCUCAAGGACAGACACCGCCUGGCCUGGUGCUCCAGGGGUGAAGCAGGCCAGAAUCCUGGGGGAGCUGCUCCUGGUUUGAGCUGCAUUCAGGAAGUGCGGGACAUGGUAGGGGAGGCAAAAAGCCUUGGGCACUACCCUCCCUGUGGAGCUGUUCGGUGUCCGUCGAGCUAGCCACACCCUGACACCAUGUUCAAGGGUACCGGAAGAGAAGGGUGUCUGCCCCCAACCUCCCCUGUGGGUGUCACUGGCCAGAUGUCAUGAGGGAAGCAGGCCUUGUGAGUGGACACUGACCAUGAGUCCCUGGGGGGAGUGAUCCCCCAGGCAUCGUGUGCCAUGUUGCACUUCUGCCCAGGCAGCAGGGUGGGUGGGUACCAUGGGUGCCCACCCCUCCACCACAUGGGGCCCCAAAGCACUGCAGGCCAAGCAGGGCAACCCCACACCCUUGACAUAAAAGCAUCUUGAAGCUUUUA